This 329-nucleotide unclassified non-coding RNA is filed under the name soil metagenome. Its description in RNAcentral is "partial contains 5.8S ribosomal RNA, internal transcribed spacer 2, and large subunit ribosomal RNA". The stretch from base 1 to 120 matches the Rfam family "5.8S ribosomal RNA", at positions 35 to 154 of the family's 154-position model. The record is from RNAcentral.
GAUGAAGAACGUAGCGAAAUGCGAUAAGUAGUGUGAAUUGCAGAAUUCAGUGAAUCAUCGAAUCUCUGAACGCACAUUGCGCCCCUUGGUAUCCCGAGGGGCAUGCCUGUUCGAGCGUCAUUUCACCACUCAAGCCUGGCUUGGUGUUGGGCGACGUCCCCUUUGGGGACGCGCCUCGAAACGCUCGGCGGCGUGGCACCGGCUUUAAGCGUAGCAGAAUCUUUCGCUUUGGAAGUCGGGGCCCCGUCUGCCGGAAGACCUACUCGCAAGGUUGACCUCGGAUCAGGCAGGGAUACCCGCUGAACUUAAGCAUAUCAAUAAGCGGAGGA